Long non-coding RNA from Cyprinus carpio (common carp), 981 nucleotides. Lineage: Eukaryota; Metazoa; Chordata; Actinopteri; Cypriniformes; Cyprinidae. The record is from Ensembl.
UGUUUCUCUGAAUGUCCUCAAAUGGUGAAUUAACAGUAGCUCUUAACAUUAAUGCAUUGGCAGUGUGUGUGUGUGUUUGAGAGAGAGAGAGUGAGAGAGUGAGUGAGUGAGUGAGAAAGCCUGGCAGGAGAUAACAGAAAAAAUAAAUUCAAGAAAUCUUGCUGUCAAGCGGACAGUAGAAGAAGUUAUGAAAAAGUAUGAAAACAUAGUGGUGAGUUCAAGAAAAGAAAUUGCAAACAAUAAAAAGACUCCGGAAAGGCCGGUGAGUAACGUUCAUGCCCGUGCCUGAUAAAUUGUAUCAAAAAGGUAUCGCGCUUGGUAUGGAACAAUGUUAUUGUUUUGUUGUGUAAAGGAGGAGGGCCACCCCCACAAGACCUAUCCGACACAGUGAAAUUGGUACAAGAUAUAUUAGGGAAGGAUUCUCCUACUCUAGUCGGUAUUCCAGGCGUUCCUCAAAGCAGUUCGGGAAGCAGCCUACCUACUCAUAACUGGGAAGAUGUUCGAGUGACAAGCCCCACUCCCAGCAAUACAGCCCCAAGACGUUCGUUUGAGGAAAGAGGAUUGGAAACCACCAAGGCUACAUCAGGGCUGGCUGAACUUCAACGAGAAGUUCUUUUGCUGCAGAAGAGAAAAGCAGAGUUGGAGAUUUCUAAAAUAGAAAUGGAAAAGGAAAACUUGAAUAUGCAGAAUAUAGUUCUGCAAUACAAAAUUAACAAACUUGCUCGAGAUGGAUUAAUAACUUUACAACCAGUAGGGGAAGAGUAACACAAACUUUGAUCUGUUGAUAGGGUGUUUAUUAUUCAAAUGAUUUGUAAUAUACAAAUAUUUAAUAACUAUUUAACAAUACUAUACUAUAACAAUACCUAAUGUGAUUUGCUUACUGUAAAUGUUUUAUGGCUGUUUUAUGUAUAUAUUAGAGUCCUGAGUAAAGAAUGAAGUAUAUAGAAUAAAGUUUUGAUUUUACUUAUUUUUAAUUAUAAA